Molecule: transfer RNA, 71 nt
Filed under: Sphaerodactylus townsendi
Lineage: Eukaryota; Metazoa; Chordata; Lepidosauria; Squamata; Sphaerodactylidae
Description: tRNA-Thr
Source: RNAcentral
GGACUGUGGCUCAGGGGUAGUGCAUCUGCUUGGUGUGCAGAAGGUCAUAGGUUCAGUCCCCUGCAUGUCCA